CAGAGAUUUAUUUAUCUGCUUUACUGCAUUUUGCUUACGUCAAGAGCUGGAUUGCUCCUGUACAGCCCCCUCGCCAGGCAGAUAAUUGCUACAUAUUCUUUUGUACUGCUGCCACCACCUCCACCAUCGGGCGUUUUCCCAAACAAUUGCCUGCGCAGCCUCGGAGCAAUCCAUCUCCCUGCUGACACUGGCAUGGCAGUGCUUUGGUGUUAGGGGUGUCCCUGGAGCAGGCUGACAUUUUGAUUCUGCCUUAAUUAAACCACUUUGGAAGCAGCAUGACUCUGUUUUGGAAUGAAUUGCACUGGUACAAGUUUUGUGCAGAGGCAUCUCUGUUUCAUAGUGACUACAUCCCUUCUGACAGUCCUCCCACAGCUAGCCCACCUUGCCUUGCUUCAGGCCUGCAUCAGGCCUCCUGCCAUCAGAUCCCUAUCGAGCAAGGGCAUCUGGAAGCUCAUUUGGGAUGAGAACUGCUCCCUUUCACCAUCCCUGCUGGCCUUCUGUGGGCAGAGAGAAAUUGAAUUCCUUUCCCAAGAGGCCAAUAAGCACCCUUAGACAGCAGUGCUUGAGAAGCAGCUGCCAUGGUGUGGAGCAGAGCUUUCUGAUGAGGAUCCUAUACCACUAAAAGGUUCCAGCAAGGUAAGUCCCAACACUAACAGAGAGCUUUGGGGGAAAAUGUCCUACAAGAUAGAAACUUGCAUCUCUGUCUUCCUUCCUCCAGUGCUGCAUUUGCAGACAGGCAGAGUUGGUGGUUCCCUGUGGCUGGCAGACUGCCUUGCUUGGACAAGGCACGUGGCAAAGCUCUCCCCAGUCCCUGGUCCCCAGUCCCUGGUCCCCAGUCCCUAUUGGGUCUGGCCAGUCUCUAUCAUGCAGAUGCUGGCAGAUACUGUUUGAGACAAUGAUUACUAAUCUAUUUCUCCCUCCUCAGCAUCAAUGAAAGAAGCAAGUCUAGUGCUUAUGCCUUCCCCCACUCACGUGAUUCAGCAUCUCCUGUUCCCACUCACAAAGUUUUCAGGUAAAUAGCUCAGGGACAACUUAAAAAAGCAAUCUGCCACCAAACUAGUGUCUCCCAGCCUUUUUAACAGUCUUCCUCUUAAUAUUUUUUUUUGGUUUUGCAGAAUUGAAUUUUACCUGUAGUAAGGAUCAGCCUUGAGCUGACUUUGCACUCUUAAGCUCUGCUGAGAGCUGAUCCUGAAUUGCAGAUUUUGCCUGGAUUUUGCAGAGUUCUCUGAGGUCGAGACCUCCUGACACUGCACAAAAAAGCCCUGAUGAGGUACCACAAAGGGGUAAUGAACACUACUGCCUGGAAAGGUGGUAGAGGCCCCAUCCCUGGAAACAGGGAUGUUGAUUGGGCUCUGAGCAAACUGAUUUAGUGGGAGAUAUCCUUUCUCACUCCAAGGGGGUUGUACUAGAUGAACUUUAAAGGUCCCUUCUAAUCCAAACUAUUCUAUGAUUCUAUGAAUCUAUGAAAGUGUCCUGAAUCCAGCUGGUCUAGCUUCCAUGUAUGGUUAAAAUUUUAAGGCCCUGGGCAGAAGGAAAAAGAGAUGGAUGCAGCUACCUAAAUCUUUCUGGCAGUCAAUGCAAAGGUGUAAGCAAUGAUAAAGAAUUCCAGAGGUUGCUGCUGUCUCCCUUAUUUGUGAUGUGUGAGGAAAGAAGAGAGGACUCACUGGAAAUGUUAGUUGUCUUCACGCCUUUGAAAUCUGCUUCAUCUGUCCUUUCCAUAAAGGCAGGAUUUUAGUACUGUAUGGUGCCAUUUGUUGUGUUCUGAAUUAUGUGGCAGCAGUUAGAGCACUUAUUUAAGAUGGGGAUUAUCUAGCUCUUAGCUUUCCUUUGAUACAGGAAGAAAUGUUCUCCCAUUUCCCAGAUCUCCAGCCCUGAUUUGCUGUAUCCUGGUCGAGAGCAAUCAACAACUCUUCUUUCCAAGCCAAACCAGGGUACAGCCUGUGGAAGAAGCAUCAAGCAGGAGGGAACCACGAGUGAUCAGUCAUCAGGCAUGCACAAGUUUUGCUAUGGCUUUCUCCUAGUUUUUAUCCAGUCACACUGAACUCCACCAGAUCUGCCCCAAUAUGGUGCAGCCACAACAACAAUAGGGAAAUGUCUGCUCCACCCUGGAGGUAUCAGGAGUCCUGGCUCAUAUGGAAGCUGAGAGAGGGUGCAGGUGCCUCUUGUUUUAUGCUUGGGUUGCUUUAGGAUCAGUAGCCUCAACCAUGCUGCCUGCACCAGCCACUGCAGCAAAGAGUGUGGGCAAAACUAAACCUGUGUGGAUUUAGCUGUCAUCAUUCAAAUAUGAAACUGUUGAAAAGGAGCAGUUUUGACAAACUGGACCAGUGUCUGAUAUUUGUAAACCAGCAUGUGUCUGUGUUCAUAUUUAUUCGCACCAUUCUUCAAUGCUCUAGUUCCUAGAUUGGUGUGAGGAUAGUUCCUUGGAAAUUAAUAACUGUUAGAGCUUUGUGGCUCAGUGAGUUGUUUACUUCCUUACAUCAUUAAUACUAUCCUUGUAGGGAGGAGGAGUGUUGAAAAUAAUAAACACUCUUUCCUUCAUUAACA
Molecule: long non-coding RNA, 2544 nt
Filed under: Parus major (Great Tit)
Lineage: Eukaryota; Metazoa; Chordata; Aves; Passeriformes; Paridae
Description: lncRNA (ENSPMJG00000005333.1)
Source: RNAcentral